Molecule: long non-coding RNA, 224 nt
Filed under: Lathyrus oleraceus (garden pea)
Lineage: Eukaryota; Viridiplantae; Streptophyta; Magnoliopsida; Fabales; Fabaceae
Description: Pisum sativum (pea) long non-coding RNA (PSAT_LNC015801)
Source: RNAcentral
CAAAAUAUACUUCUUUUUGUCCAAUUGUGUUUGACCCCAUAUCCUUGAAUUUUACAUGCUUCACCAUAAUAUGAGAAUUUUGAUAGUUCACAAACUCGGUUCCAUACUUCAUUUGGUGACAAUCGAGGGGGAGGAAAAUUUGUUACUCGCUCGUAUAUUUUGAAAUCAUUCUUGUUUCUUCUAAAGACAUGAUCUUGUGGUAGGAAUUUGCGGUGACAGUCAAG